GAUGAACGCUGGCGGCGUGCCUAAUACAUGCAAGUCGAGCGAACAGACGAGGAGCUUGCUCCUCUGACGUUAGCGGCGGACGGGUGAGUAACACGUGGAUAACCUACCUAUAAGACUGGGAUAACUUCGGGAAGCCGGAGCUAAUACCGGAUAAUAUAUUGAACCGCAUGGUUCAAUAGUGAAAGACGGUUUUGCUGUCACUUAUAGAUGGAUCCGCGCCGCAUUAGCUAGUUGGUAAGGUAACGGCUUACCAAGGCAACGAUGCGUAGCCGACCUGAGAGGGUGAUCGGCCACACUGGAACUGAGACACGGUCCAGACUCCUACGGGAGGCAGCAGUAGGGAACCUUCCGCAAUGGGCGAAAGCCUGACGGAGCAACGCCGCGUGAGUGAUGAAGGUCUUCGGAUCGUAAAACUCUGUUAUUAGGGAAGAACAAAUGUGUAAGUAACUAUGCACGUCUUGACGGUACCUAAUCAGAAAGCCACGGCUAACUACGUG
RNAcentral lists this ribosomal RNA (497 nucleotides) under uncultured bacterium. RNAcentral describes it as "partial 16S ribosomal RNA". It matches the Rfam family "Bacterial small subunit ribosomal RNA", at positions 28 to 507 of the family's 1533-position model. The record is from RNAcentral.